GGGCCCGCACAAGCGGUGGAGCAUGUGGUUUAAUUCGAUGAUACGCGAGGAACCUUACCAGGGCUUAAAUGGAAAUGACAGGGGCAGAGACGCCCCUUCUUCGGACAUUUUUCAAGGUGCUGCAUGGUUGUCGUCAGCUCGUGCCGUGAGGUGUCAGGUUAAGUCCUAUAACGAGCGCAACCCCUAUCGUUAGUUGCCAACAGGUUAAGCUGGGAACUCUAACGAGACUGCCGGUGCAAACCGCGAGGAAGGUGGGGAUGACGUCAAAUCAUCACGGCCCUUACGUCCUGGGCUACACACGUGCUACAAUGGCCGGUACAGAGAGCAGCCACUCCGCGAGGAGGAGCGAAUCUAUAAAACCGGUCUCAGUUCGGAUCGCAGUCUGCAACUCGACUGCGUGAAGCUGGAAUCGCUAGUAAUCG
Molecule: ribosomal RNA, 422 nt
Filed under: uncultured bacterium
Lineage: Bacteria
Description: bacterial SSU rRNA
Rfam family: Bacterial small subunit ribosomal RNA
Source: RNAcentral